AGGAAAGGAAUCCAACAGGCAGGUGGCGUUCACCCCAUUGCCCUGGAUUUCUGUACAGUUGGCAUGGCCGGGCUUGGUGUAGGGAGCCAAAAGCCCAUCUCUCCAAGCUCUGGGAAGCAUUUGACACGCUGUAUGGAGUGAAGGUUCUAGGAACAAAGCCGUCAGUGGGAAAGGGCCAACGAGAGAAAAAGAUGAGAGAGAGCUGGCCGAGAGAUAUCAAAGUUCCUCCAUGUUGGAAGCAACUAGGACUGGGGAAUGUCUCGACAUAGAGUUGGCGCUCAUCGUCCUGAUGGUGAAGGAAAGAGCAAGGCAACUGAGUCAUUUUGGAAGGUCUCUUUUUUGACAAACAAGUAUUUUGAAUCAGUAAAUUGUCACAGCUUUUAUUGGAUGGACCCAGGAAAUCAUGAAACUGGC
Molecule: long non-coding RNA, 414 nt
Filed under: Cercocebus atys (sooty mangabey)
Lineage: Eukaryota; Metazoa; Chordata; Mammalia; Primates; Cercopithecidae
Description: lncRNA (ENSCATG00000045776.1)
Source: RNAcentral